CACGUAGUUAGCCGGGGCUGCUUAGUCAAGUACUGUCCCUCUUCUUCCUUGCUGAUAGAAGUUUACGAUCCGAAAAUCUUCUUCCUUCACGCGGCAUCGCUGCAUCAGGGUUCCCCCCAUUGUGCAAUAUUCCCCACUGCUGCCUCCCGUAGGAGUCUGGGCCGUGUCUCAGUCCCAAUGUGGCCGUCCAUCCUCUCAGACCGGCUACUGAUCGUUGCCUUGGUAAGCCCUUUACCUCCCCAACUAGCUAAUCAGUCGCGGGCCCAUCCUAUACCGUCUCGGCUUUUCCUACUAGUUCAUGCGAACCUGUAGGCUUAUGCGGUAUUAGCGUACAUUUCUAUACGUUAUCCCCCUGUAUAGGGUAGGUUACCCACGUUGUUACUCACCCGUCCGCCGCUAGAUCUACUUUCCCUUCCACGGCCGAACGCCUUUCCGACAAAACUCUCUCGCUCGACUUGCAUGUGUAAGCGUGCCGCCAGCGUUCAUCCUGACGCCAGGACUACAAACUCU
Molecule: ribosomal RNA, 510 nt
Filed under: uncultured Lachnospiraceae bacterium
Lineage: Bacteria; Bacillati; Bacillota; Clostridia; Lachnospirales; Lachnospiraceae
Description: partial 16S ribosomal RNA
Source: RNAcentral